ACCAGGAUGGCCAAGUGGUUAAGGCGUUGGAGUUAAGCUCCAAUGGGUGUAAGCCCUUGUGGGUUCAAACUCUACUCCUGGUA
Non-coding RNA from Poecilia formosa (Amazon molly), 83 nucleotides. NCBI's taxonomy places the organism in Eukaryota, Metazoa, Chordata, Actinopteri, Cyprinodontiformes, Poeciliidae. The record is from Rfam.